GACGAACGCUGGCGGCGGGCUUAACACAUGCAAGUCGAACGGAAAGGCCCUGCUUUUGUGGGGUGCUCGAGUGGCGAACGGGUGAGUAACACGUGAGUAACCUGCCCUUGACGUUGGGAUAACGUCAGGAAACUGGGGCUAAUACCGGAUAGGAGCUCCUGCUGCAUGGUGGGGGUUGGAAAGUUUCGGCGGUUGGGGAUGGACUCGCGGCUUAUCAGCUUGUUGGUGGGGUAGUGGCUUACCAAGGCUUUGACGGGUAGCCGGCCUGAGAGGGUGACCUGCCCCGUUGCGCCUGGACUGCGACCCAGCCUCCUCCGGGACGCAGCGGUGGAGUGUAGUGCCCUAUGCGCGGAAGCCUGCUGUGACCACGCCGCGUGGGGGAUGACGGCAUUCGGGUUGUAUUGUGCUUCCGCCUGUGCCGAGGCGAGAGUGACGGUACUGGGUAAAGAAGCACCGGCUAACUACGUG
This 468-nucleotide ribosomal RNA is filed under the name uncultured bacterium. RNAcentral describes it as "partial 16S ribosomal RNA". It matches the Rfam family "Bacterial small subunit ribosomal RNA", at positions 28 to 507 of the family's 1533-position model. The record is from RNAcentral.